AUCCGGGCUAGAAGCGACGCA
Molecule: small nuclear RNA, 21 nt
Filed under: Arabidopsis thaliana (thale cress)
Lineage: Eukaryota; Viridiplantae; Streptophyta; Magnoliopsida; Brassicales; Brassicaceae
Description: snRNA_12346
Source: RNAcentral